RNAcentral lists this ribosomal RNA (484 nucleotides) under uncultured bacterium. Its description in RNAcentral is "partial 16S ribosomal RNA". It matches the Rfam family "Bacterial small subunit ribosomal RNA", at positions 30 to 507 of the family's 1533-position model. The record is from RNAcentral.
AUUGAACGCUGGCGGCAGGCCUAACACAUGCAAGUCGAGCGGAUGAGGGGAGCUUGCUCCUGGAUUCAGCGGCGGACGGGUGAGUAAUGCCUAGGAAUCUGCCUGGUAGUGGGGGAUAACGUCCGGAAACGGGCGCUAAUACCGCAUACGUCCUGAUGGAGAAAGUGGGGGAUCUUCGGACCUCACGCUAUCAGAUGAGCCUAGGUCGGAUUAGCUAGUUGGUGGGGUAAGGGCCUACCAAGGCGACGAUCCGUAACUGGUCUGAGAGGAUGAUCAGUCACACUGGAACUGAGACACGGUCCAGACUCCUACGGGAGGCAGCAGUGGGGAAUAUUGGACAAUGGGCGAAAGCCUGAUGCAGCCAUGCCGCGUGUGUGAAGAAGGUCUUCGGAUCGUAAAGCACUUUAAGUUGGGAGGAAGGGCAGUAAGUUAAUACCUUGCUGUUUUGACGGUACCAACAGAAUAAGCACCGGCUAACUUCGUG